Molecule: ribosomal RNA, 253 nt
Filed under: uncultured bacterium
Lineage: Bacteria
Description: partial 16S ribosomal RNA
Rfam family: Bacterial small subunit ribosomal RNA
Source: RNAcentral
GACGAACCGUGCGAACGUUGUUCGGAAUCACUGGGCUUAAAGGGCGCGUAGGCGGACGACCAAGUCAAGGGUGAAAUCUUUCGGCUCAACCGGAAAACAGCCCCUGAUACUGGCCGUCUUGAGGGAGGUAGGGGCAUGCGGAACUUCCGGUGGAGCGGUGAAAUGCGUUGAUAUCGGAAGGAACUCCGGUGGCGAAAGCGGCGUGCUGGAUCUCUUCUGACGCUGAGGCGCGAAAGCCAGGGGAGCAAACGGG